UUAAAAAUAUUUUUUAUGAACUACAACAAUUAAAAUAAAAAGUGAGCAUCCCGAGACAUCGUUAGGCACUUUGAAUGCUAACGACCGCAUGAAUUUCAAGCAGCAAGCGGAAAGAGCAAAUGAUGAACUCAUAUGCUCCAGAUUCUAGACACACACACACGUACCAUUUAAGUUUGGUUGAGCUGGUGCAGCUGCAACAACUUCGGCGGGUGCAACAACAUCGGCGGCGUUCGCUGAACUGGCGCUGGCUCCUUGCAAAAACAACAAGAGCGACGCC
This is a long non-coding RNA of Drosophila arizonae, 277 nucleotides long. The record is from RefSeq and is a predicted model, not a curated record. Lineage: Eukaryota; Metazoa; Arthropoda; Insecta; Diptera; Drosophilidae.